UUCUUAUCAAGAUUGGUUGAGGGACUGGCCCUAUGACACCAAGCAACCUGAAUAUUUUAUUCAAGGUGCUAAUUCCAGCAGGAAUAUUCCUGAGAGAUAAGAG
This 103-nucleotide non-coding RNA is filed under the name Clostridium acetireducens. Its description in RNAcentral is "SAM-I sequence". It matches the Rfam family "SAM riboswitch aptamer (S box leader)". From Rfam's summary of the family: The SAM riboswitch is found upstream of a number of genes which code for proteins involved in methionine or cysteine biosynthesis in Gram-positive bacteria. The SAM riboswitch acts at the level of transcription termination control. RNAcentral also lists the same sequence under 1 other name. The record is from RNAcentral. Lineage: Bacteria; Bacillati; Bacillota; Clostridia; Eubacteriales; Clostridiaceae.